GAGAGGAAGGUCCCCCACAUAGGAACUGAGACACGGUCCUAACUCCUACGGGAGGCAGCAGUGAGGAAUAUUGGUCAAUGGGCGCUAGCCUGAACCAGCCAAGUAGCGA
RNAcentral lists this ribosomal RNA (109 nucleotides) under uncultured bacterium. Its description in RNAcentral is "partial 16S ribosomal RNA". It matches the Rfam family "Bacterial small subunit ribosomal RNA", at positions 294 to 402 of the family's 1533-position model. The record is from RNAcentral.